UACGGAGGGGGCUAGCGUUGUUCGGAAUUACUGGGCGUAAAGCGCACGUAGGCGGACUGGAAAGUCAGAGGUGAAAUCCCAGGGCUCAACCUUGGAACUGCCUUUGAAACUAUCAGUCUGGAGUUCGAGAGAGGUGAGUGGAAUUCCGAGUGUAGAGGUGAAAUUCGUAGAUAUUCGGAGGAACACCAGUGGCGAAGGCGGCUCACUGGCUCGAUACUGACGCUGAGGUGCGAAAGCGUGGGGAGCAAACAGGAUUAGAAACCCCCGUAGUCC
This 273-nucleotide ribosomal RNA is filed under the name uncultured bacterium. RNAcentral describes it as "partial 16S ribosomal RNA". It matches the Rfam family "Bacterial small subunit ribosomal RNA", at positions 524 to 796 of the family's 1533-position model. The record is from RNAcentral.